GAUGAACGCUGGCGGCGUGCCUAAUACAUGCAAGUCGAGCGAACGGACGAGAAGCUUGCUUCUCUGAUGUUAGCGGCGGACGGGUGAGUAACACGUGGAUAACCUACCUAUAAGACUGGGAUAACUUCGGGAAACCGGAGCUAAUACCGGAUAAUAUUUUGAACCGCAUGGUUCAAAAGUGAAAGACGGUCUUGCUGUCACUUAUAGAUGGAUCCGCGCUGCAUUAGCUAGUUGGUAAGGUAACGGCUUACCAAGGCAACGAUGCAUAGCCGACCUGAGAGGGUGAUCGGCCACACUGGAACUGAGACACGGUCCAGACUCCUACGGGAGGCAGCAGUAGGGAAUCUUCCGCAAUGGGCGAAAGCCUGACGGAGCAACGCCGCGUGAGUGAUGAAGGUCUUCGGAUCGUAAAACUCUGUUAUUAGGGAAGAACAUAUGUGUAAGUAACUGUGCACAUCUUGACGGUACCUAAUCAGAAAGCCACGGCUAACUACGUGUCAGCAGCCGCGGUAAUACGUAGGUGGCAAGCGUUAUCCGGAAUUAUUGGGCGUAAAGCGCGCGUAGGCGGUUUUUUAAGUCUGAUGUGAAAGUCCACGGCUCAACCGUGGAGGGUCAUUGGAAACUGGAAAACUUGAGUGCAGAAGAGGAAAGUGGAAUUCCAUGUGUAGCGGUGAAAUGCGCAGAGAUAUGGAGGAACACCAGUGGCGAAGGCGACUUUCUGGUCUGUAACUGACGCUGAUGUGCGAAAGCGUGGGGAUCAAACAGGAUUAGAUACCCUGGUAGUCCACGCCGUAAACGAUGAGUGCUAAGUGUUAGGGGGUUUCCGCCCCUUAGUGCUGCAGCUAACGCAUUAAGCACUCCGCCUGGGGAGUACGACCGCAAGGUUGAAACUCAAAGGAAUUGACGGGGACCCGCACAAGCGGUGGAGCAUGUGGUUUAAUUCGAAGCAACGCGAAGAACCUUACCAAAUCUUGACAUCCUUUGACAACUCUAGAGAUAGAGCCUUCCCCUUCGGGGGACAAAGUGACAGGUGGUGCAUGGUUGUCGUCAGCUCGUGUCGUGAGAUGUUGGGUUAAGUCCCGCAACGAGCGCAACCCUUAAGCUUAGUUGCCAUCAUUAAGUUGGGCACUCUAAGUUGACUGCCGGUGACAAACCGGAGGAAGGUGGGGAUGACGUCAAAUCAUCAUGCCCCUUAUGAUUUGGGCUACACACGUGCUACAAUGGACAAUACAAAGGGCAGCGAAACCGCGAGGUCAAGCAAAUCCCAUAAAGUUGUUCUCAGUUCGGAUUGUAGUCUGCAACUCGACUACAUGAAGCUGGAAUCGCUAGUAAUCGUAGAUCAGCAUGCUACGGUGAAUACGUUCCCGGGUCU
This 1372-nucleotide ribosomal RNA is filed under the name uncultured bacterium. RNAcentral's name for it is "bacterial SSU rRNA". It matches the Rfam family "Bacterial small subunit ribosomal RNA", at positions 28 to 1381 of the family's 1533-position model. The record is from RNAcentral.